ACUUUUUGUAGAACGGUCCGGCGAGUUAUGAUACGCGGUAAGGUUAAGGACUUAAGGUCCGGAGCCGAAGCGAAAGCGAGUGUUAAGAGCACGAGGAAUCACGUAUCAUAGACCCGAAACCGGGUGAUCUAUCCAUGUCCAGGAUGAAGCUGCCGUAAGAGGUAGUGGAGGUCCGAACACACAUCCGUUGAAAAGGGUGGUGAUGAGGUGUGGAUAGGGGAGAAAUUCCAAUCGAACCCGGAGAUAGCUGGUUCUCCUCGAAAUAGCUUUAGGGCUAGCCUUCAGUUAGUCUGCCGCAGGUAGAGCACUGAAUUUCCUAGGGGGCGUCAAAGCCUACCGAAGAAUAUCAAACUGCGAAUGGCGGACAGAUGAUGCUGGGGAGUCAGACUGCACGAGAUAAGUUGGGUGGUCAAAAGGGAAAGAGCCCAGACCUACAGCUAAGGUCCCAAAGUGCGUGUUAAGUGGAAAAGGAUGUGGGAUUUCGAAGACAACUAGGAUGUUGGCUCAGAAGCAGCCACACAUUAAAAGAGUGCGUAAUAGCUCACUAGUCGAGAGGUCCUGCGCCGAAAAUGUCCGGGGCUGAAACACGACACCGAAGCUUAGGAACAGAAAUGUUGGUAGAGGAGCAUUGUUAGCGGAACGAAGCCAUACCGGAAGGAGUGGUGGACUGCUAAGAAGAGAGAAUGCCGGAAUGAGUAGCGAGAUUGAAGUGAGAAUCUUCAAGGCCGAAUAUCUAAGGUUUCCAGGGUAAAGCUGAUCUGCCCUGGGUAAGUCGGGGCCUAAGGCGAGGUCGAAAGACGUAGCCGAUGGACAACAGGUUGAAAUUCCUGUACUGCGAUAUAUCAGAAAUGUGGGGACACAGAAGGAAAGUGUGAGCCGGGAAAGGAAAGACCGGUGCAAGCACAGGAGGAGAGAUACAGGCAAAUCCGUAUUUCAAUCCAAUGGUGUUACGCGGAGCGAACAAAAGUAGCGAAGCACACAGACCAUCUGUCGAGAAAAGCCGCUAUUGUGUAUACCGUACCCGUACCGUAAACCGACACAGGUGGAUGAGGAGAGAAUCCUAAGGCCGGCGGGAGAAGCAUUGUUAAGGAACUCGGCAAAAUGACCCCGUAACUUCGGGAGAAGGGGUGCUCACGCAAGUGAGCCGCAGAGAACUGGCCCAAGCAACUGUUUAGCAAAAACACAGGUCUAUGCAAAACCGAAAGGUGAGGUAUAUGGGCUGACGCCUGCCCGGUGCUGGAAGGUUAAGAGGAGAUGUUAGAGCAAUCGAAGCAUUGAAUUUAAGCCCCAGUAAACGGCGGCCGUAACUAUAACGGUCCUAAGGUAGCGAAAUUCCUUGUCGGGUAAGUUCCGACCCGCACGAAAGGCGUAAUGAUUUGGGCACUGUCUCGACAAUGCACCCGGUGAAAUUGAAAUACCAGUGAAGAUGCUGGUUACCUGCGCCAGGACGGAAAGACCCCAUGGAGCUUUACUCUAGCUUGAUACUGGGAUUCGGUAUUGCAUGUACAGGAUAGGUGGGAGACGAAGAGGUGAUGACGCCAGUUGUCACGGAGUCGAUGUUGGGAUACCACCCCUGCAGUACUGGGUUUCUAACCUGCGGCCGUGACCCGGCCGGGGGACAAUGUCUGGUGGGGAGUUUGACUGGGGCGGUCGCCUCCGAAAGGGUAUCGGAGGCGCUCAAAGGUUCCCUCAGAAUGGUUGGAAACCAUUCGAAGAGUGCAAAGGCAGAAGGGAGCUUGACUGCGACACCGACGGGUGGAGCAGGUACGAAAGUAGGACUUAGUGAUCCGGUGGUAUGAAAGUGGGAUUGCCAUCGCUCAACGGAUAAAAGCUACCCUGGGGAUAACAGGCUUAUCACUCCCAAGAGUUCACAUCGACGGAGUGGUUUGGCACCUCGAUGUCGGCUCAUCGCAUCCUGGGGCUGUAGUAGGUCCCAAGGGUUGGGCUGUUCGCCCAUUAAAGCGGUACGCGAGCUGGGUUCAGAACGUCGUGAGACAGUUC
Molecule: ribosomal RNA, 2001 nt
Filed under: gut metagenome
Description: bacterial LSU rRNA
Rfam family: Bacterial large subunit ribosomal RNA
Source: RNAcentral